GAUAAUUUCAUCAGCAUUGUGAAGAUUUCUUCUGCGAAUCUACCGUUAACAUUCAAAUUUAAGAUAAACGACUUUAUGAAGAGAUUUGGAAAGAUUCCUCUUGGCAUAUCGAUUGGCGGAUUCUUCUACAUAAAACGGAAUUUCCCGAUAAGAGUAAUCAGUACUCUUUAUUCGAUAUUUUCUUCGUGUAUUGAAGUGAGCGGAAUUUUAAAGAAAGAAAAAAAUUGCACGGUCAAACAUGGAAAGAACAUGUUUCGUUUUCUCAGUUAAUGAAACUAAGUCGCAUUUCGAAGAAAUUUAACCAAUUGCUAUCUACAAAAGAGAUAAUGACUGAUCUUUUCGGACUGUAAGGAAAUGUUACUAACAAAUUUUAUGGAGCAUCAAAUAACGUUAGUUUACAGGUUUACCGUGAAACUCAAAGAAUAGCAAACUCGAAGUUUCGGCGAAAAGAUGAUAGAUAGCCCACCAGUAGCCAAGCGGUUCCUUUCCCUAAACACGGGAGUUCGAUGGACGGUUCGCGCCUCGCUAGGACGAGCUGGCCACGUGGAGUUUUCCGGGUUUUCUCCACGUCUGUAAUGCCUGAAUAGGGGCCAGUUACUCUUAAAAGACCUCCCGGAAGGCAUAAUUGUUUACGUAUAAACAGUGGUAAGUUGUGAUGUCACAUCGUACGUCACAACUUUUUAAAACGU
Long non-coding RNA from Centruroides sculpturatus (bark scorpion), 689 nucleotides. RefSeq lists it as uncharacterized. NCBI's taxonomy places the organism in Eukaryota, Metazoa, Arthropoda, Arachnida, Scorpiones, Buthidae. The record is from RefSeq and is a predicted model, not a curated record. The transcript has 3 exons.